This is a long non-coding RNA of Suricata suricatta (meerkat), 468 nucleotides long. RefSeq lists it as uncharacterized. The transcript has 2 exons. The record is from RefSeq and is a predicted model, not a curated record. Lineage: Eukaryota; Metazoa; Chordata; Mammalia; Carnivora; Herpestidae.
UGGCUCCGUGGCCAUCGGGAGCCCCCAGGAGUCGGGGGUGGCUGGGGGCCGCCAGCCUCCUUCCCCACCGCCUUGCCCCCAGGGGGCCCGUGAUCGGGAAAGCCAGCCUCGGCUGCACUCCCGCGCCCAUUCAGACCUGCGUUAGCAAGCAGGGGCAAGGACAGUCAUGAAACUGAUUUUGCCAGCUUGGCGAUGCAUGAAGCCACAAUGGAGGUGUGCAAGGAGGGCAAGACAGUCGCCCCCAAGGACAUGGACUCAGAUAAUGCCACCCCCCUUCACGCAUACGGCAACCCUCUUGGUGGUGAAAUUCAACAGACCCUUCCUACUCGUGGAGGACUAGAUGACUCAAAGAGCACUCCUCAUGGGCAAAGUCUUCAACCCCACUGUUGAGUAGUGGCGGGACCAGGCUCCAUGAAGCUGGAAUCCAGGUGUUCCUGAAUAAAGUGGAUAAAUUUCACUGCUAUUGAA